This 365-nucleotide ribosomal RNA is filed under the name uncultured bacterium. Its description in RNAcentral is "bacterial SSU rRNA". It matches the Rfam family "Bacterial small subunit ribosomal RNA", at positions 28 to 384 of the family's 1533-position model. The record is from RNAcentral.
GACAAACGCUGGCGGCGUGCUUAAUACAUGCAAGUCGAGCGGACUCCAACCACUCGCAAGAGUGGGGAAGAGUUAGCGGCGAACGGGUGAGUAACACGUGAGGAACCUGCCCUGGAGACCGGGAUAACUCCCCGAAAGGGGUGGCUAAUACCGGAUGUCCUCAUCGGACCGCAUGAUCUGAUGAGGAAAUAGGAUUCCGCUCCAGGAGGGUCUCGCGGCCUAUCAGCUUGNGGUGAGGUAACGGCUCACCAAGGCGUCGACGGGUAGCUGGUCUGAGAGGACGAUCAGCCACACUGGGACUGAGACACGGCCCAGACUCCUACGGGAGGCAGCAGUAGGGAAUCUUGCGCAAUGGGCGAAAGCCU